UACGAAGGGGGCUAGCGUUGCUCGGAAUUACUGGGCGUAAAGGGCGCGUAGGCGGCACUGUUAGUCAGGCGUGAAAGUCCUGGGCUCAACCUGGGAACUGCGCUUGAUACGGCAGAGCUAGAGGAUGGAAGAGGAUCGCGGAAUUCCCAGUGUAGAGGUGAAAUUCGUAGAUAUUGGGAGGAACACCGGUGGCGAAGGCGGCGAUCUGGGUGGUGACUGACGCUGAGGCGCGAAAGCGUGGGGAGCAAACAGG
Molecule: ribosomal RNA, 253 nt
Filed under: uncultured bacterium
Lineage: Bacteria
Description: partial 16S ribosomal RNA
Rfam family: Bacterial small subunit ribosomal RNA
Source: RNAcentral